RNAcentral lists this ribosomal RNA (376 nucleotides) under uncultured bacterium. Its description in RNAcentral is "bacterial SSU rRNA". It matches the Rfam family "Bacterial small subunit ribosomal RNA", at positions 524 to 898 of the family's 1533-position model. The record is from RNAcentral.
GACAGAGGCCCCGAGCGUUAAUCGGAAUUACUGGGCUUAAAGGGUGCGUAGGCUGAUCCGAAAGUGCUCCGUGAAAUCCCCCGGCUCAACCGGGGAACAGCGAGGCAUACUGCGGAUCUUGAGGCAGGUAGGCGCCGAGGGAACAGUAGGUGGAGCGGUGAAAUGCGUAGAUAUCUACUGGAACGCCGAUGGUGAAGACGCUCGGCUGGGCCUGUCCUGACGCUGAGGCACGAAAGCGUGGGGAGCAAACAGGAUUAGAUACCCUGGUAGUCCACGCCGUAAACAAUGUACGCUAGAUCGGUGCGGCUCUGACGUCGGAUCGGUCGAAGUAAAAACGAUAAGCGUACCGCCUGGGGAGUACGGUCGCAAGGCUAAA